This 296-nucleotide unclassified non-coding RNA is filed under the name uncultured fungus. Its description in RNAcentral is "sequence contains ITS1". Lineage: Eukaryota; Fungi. The record is from RNAcentral.
AAGGACUACCAGGGUUUCUAAUCCUGUUUGCUCCCCACGCUUUCAUGCCUCAGCGUCAGUUACAGUCCAGUAAGUCGCCUUCGCCACUGGUGUUCUUCCUAAUCUCUACGCAUUUCACCGCUACACUAGGAAUUCCACUUACCUCUCCUGCACUCUAGACACCCAGUUUCAAAUGCAGCACCCAAGUUAAGCUCGGGUAUUUCACAUCUGACUUAAAUGUCCGCCUACGCAUCCUUUACGCCCAGUAAAUCCGGACAACGCUUGCCACCUACGUAUUACCGCGGCGGCUGGCACCC